RNAcentral lists this ribosomal RNA (492 nucleotides) under uncultured bacterium. RNAcentral describes it as "partial 16S ribosomal RNA". It matches the Rfam family "Bacterial small subunit ribosomal RNA", at positions 30 to 507 of the family's 1533-position model. The record is from RNAcentral.
AUUGAACGCUGGCGGCAUGCUUUACACAUGCAAGUCGAACGGUAACAGGCCUUCGGGUGCUGACGAGUGGCGAACGGGUGAGUAAUGCAUCGGAACGUACCCAGAGGUGGGGGAUAACGCAGCGAAAGCUGUGCUAAUACCGCAUGUGAUCUGAGGAUGAAAGCGGGGGACCGAGCAGCAAUGUUUGGCCUCGCGCCUUUGGAGCGGCCGAUGUCGGAUUAGCUAGUUGGUGGGGUAAAGGCCUACCAAGGCGACGAUCCGUAGCUGGUCUGAGAGGACGACCAGCCACACUGGGACUGAGACACGGCUCAGACUCCUACGGGAGGCAGCAGUGGGGAAUUUUGGACAAUGGGCGCAAGCCUGAUCCAGCAAUACCGCGUGCGGGAAGAAGGCCUUCGGGUUGUAAACCGCUUUUGGCAGGAACGAAACGGUGUCCGCUAAUACCGGGCGCUAAUGACGGUACCUGCAGAAUAAGCACCGGCUAACUACGUG